Molecule: ribosomal RNA, 431 nt
Filed under: uncultured bacterium
Lineage: Bacteria
Description: bacterial SSU rRNA
Rfam family: Bacterial small subunit ribosomal RNA
Source: RNAcentral
ACUCCUACGGGAGGCAGCAGUGGGGAAUAUUGGACAAUGGGCGAAAGCCUGAUCCAGCAAUGCCGCGUGAGUGAUGAAGGCCUUAGGUUGUAAAGCUCUUUUACCCGGGAUGAUAAUGACAGUACCGGGAGAAUAAGCUCCGGCUAACUCCGUGCCAGCAGCCGCGGUAAUACGGAGGGAGCUAGCGUUAUUCGGAAUUACUGGGCGUAAAGCGCACGUAGGCGGCUUUGUAAGUUAGAGGUGAAAGCCUGGAGCUCAACUCCAGAAUUGCCUUUAAGACUGCAUCGCUUGAAUCCAGGAGAGGUGAGUGGAAUUCCGAGUGUAGAGGUGAAAUUCGUAGAUAUUCGGAAGAACACCAGUGGCGAAGGCGGCUCACUGGACUGGUAUUGACGCUGAGGUGCGAAAGCGUGGGGAGCAAACAGGAUUAGAUA